Bos taurus (domestic cattle) is the source of this 1095-nucleotide long non-coding RNA. NCBI's taxonomy places the organism in Eukaryota, Metazoa, Chordata, Mammalia, Artiodactyla, Bovidae. The record is from Ensembl.
AGGUCAUUCUGAGGCUUCCAAGUGGGCAUCACAGGGGCGACUGGACCCUAGAGCCCUUCAGCUCUGCCCCGCAUCCAGGGCCACCACCCUCACUAACAGGAAGAGCAGCCCAGGUCAGCCCAGUGGUGGCAGUGACUAACCCAAAUCCCCCAUCCUCCUCACAGUCCUUCUGUCCACAGAUAUGUAGUGAGGUCCUACUAUGUGCUGGGCACAGCUUCAGAGACACCUCCUAGUGAUGGGCGGCUUCUUCCCUGCCAGCCCUGAGGACUGAGACCUCGCUGGACCAGAGUGUAUUCAUGCCCAGCAGCUUUCCUCCCAGUCUGACGAGGAAGAGGAGGAGCCAUGAUGAGAAAACAGCCGACUGUGGGCCAGGCAAGCAGUACCGCCUCUAAUUCUCCCACCAACUCUAGGAGAUAGGUGCAAUGUGCCCAUUUUAUGGUUGAAGAAACUGAGGCUUUGAGAGGCGACAUCACUAGGCCAUUGAGAGGAACUCAGAACCUGGGCCAGAUGGUGCAGUGGUAAAGAACCCACCUGCCAAUGCAGGAGGUGCAAGAGAAGCAGUUAAGAUCCCUGCGUCGGCAAGCUCUCCUGGAGUAGGAAAUGACAACUUGCUCCAGUAUUCUCACCUGGAAAAUUCCAAGGACAAGCUACAGUCCAUGGGGUCACAGAGAGUCUGACAGAACUGAGCAACUGAGCACCAAGACUGGAGGAGAAGGUGAUCUGAGAGGUAGGAAGCACUAUCCUGUCCCAAUCCUAAUACAAAUACAAGUCAAUGUUUGCAGAACUUGCUACUAAUCAGCUACUUGACUUAGAUUAACUGUGGAAUCCUCACAAUCACCCAGCAAAGAAGAUGCUGCCAACACCCCCAUUUUAUGGCUGAAGAAACUAAAAUUCAGAGAGUCAAGGGGGACUCCCUCACCCUGAGCUGAAAAGCAGAAGAGCAUAAUUUGAGCCUGAACCAUCUAAAUAUUCCAGGUCCCUGUUCCUACUACAUCAUGACUGCUCCCACAUGAAAUCUCUAUGGUUGGCUGGCAGAGCAGGGGGUGGCCAGGCUGAGAGAUGUGCCUGGCUCAUUGGACCCUGGCACAUAGUAAG